This 1649-nucleotide long non-coding RNA is filed under the name Gallus gallus (chicken). RNAcentral's name for it is "lncRNA (ENSGALG00010004931.1)". Lineage: Eukaryota; Metazoa; Chordata; Aves; Galliformes; Phasianidae. The record is from RNAcentral.
UAACCUCAUAUUGUCCCUCCCUUCAGCCUGUUAGAAAUUCACCCAUAGCACUGGGUGAGAUGGACUGAGUGGUUUCAGAAGUGUUAAUAGUUUGAAAGCGCGCAACCAAGGUGUUUGUAGUUAUCCCAACAGCAGGAGAAAAUACUGAAAUGCCCACCACCUCAUACUAUGUCCAAAGCAUAGGAUGUGUUCUAAUGUUGAGGCCAAGGUUUUCAAAAGGAAAAAGCUCUUCAGUCUCUAAAAUAUGAGAUUCAGCUUCCUGAGUAUCUCUGUGCCUCCUGUGUAGUUUCAGAUGAUCAGAAUGAACAAAGCUUUCUUCUUUUCAACUGAUGCCACUGGAGAAUCCUUGUCUUGGCCUGAGUAGAGAGAGCACUUGCAGAACUGGUAGCUGUUUCCUGUUGAUUGUGCUUCGUGAAAUCAGUUCCUAUACAUCUUCAACUGUGCGCUGUCUUUAUCUUGAACUGAAGGCCACAGACUUAAUGUGUGGAGGAAAGAAAAAAGUGAUAAGAAAACAAAGCAAUGAGGACUGGAGGGGAAGAAAAGGACUUAAGUCUUUUGCUCUGACUUGGUAUGGAAUCAGAAACUUACUAAGGCAUUGGAAAGAGCAGGAGUGGAAAAACAUCACAGGGUCUUAAAAAAAAAAAAGUGAAAACUGCUUCCCACUCCUACUUUUUCUCCUGGUAUUGUGCUUGAAUUAUGCUUUCUGACCUGUUCCAAAGGAAGGGUGCUGGAAGGAGUUGAUGAUAAAAAAAAAAAAAGAACUUGUUCUCAUGUUUAUAAUUUCAUCAGUUGUGUGCAGUUUUAGCAUAUGCUUCUAGAUUCUUUGACUUGAAAGUCCACAUUGUUGUAAUUCAGUAGCUAUGUUGUAACACCAUCUGAAGGUAGAUGAACAUUUUUUUAUCAGCUAAUUGAGUAUUUUAAAUUUUAAGUAUGAAUUUAUAUCAUUAUUUGGGUUUGAGUCUUGUACCUUUGAUAGUUUAGAGUGCAUGCCUUUACCCAAUAACCUCUUUGCAUUUUCUCUACGUGCUAUUCUUAUGCAAAUAGCAAAUGCUGUUACUUAAUAAUGUGCAGUGAAUACAAUGGUUGACAUAAUAAUCGUGUAAGCUAGUAAACGUUGUAAAACUGAAAAAAAAAAUCUGCAGCCAUUAUGGCUGCAUUUUUGCAUAAUGUUUUUGUCAUUGGGAAAGCUAUCGAGAGACAAAAUUCCUCAAGAUGUUGUAGCAGCUGGCAAGGUCUCCAUGGUUACAUUGGCAAGAAAUGUGGGAAAGUAUCAGAAGUAGUUUAUUGUUCAACAGUAAAAUAUCUUUGGGGAAUACUCCUUGAAUCAUCUGAGGAAAUGUCUUAAAGAAAAGCUUUAAUUAAAAUAAGGGAGAGAGAAGGUCUGUUUAUGGAAAAAUACUUAAAACUGAAUACGAGUAAUGACAAAGAUGUGUCUGGGACAUCCUUAAUCACAGGUUUGCAACUGAGCAGUGAUCUGACUGCAAUUUUAGACAAAGUGUUGCCUCUGCUUAUUUCAUGGAUUUGUGUGGCCUGACAUGAUCAGGGAAAUAAUCUUGUCUGAACCUGAGCAAAUAGUCACUGAGAUACUAAUUAUCCAGAUAAGAUUGUUCAUUUAUAUACUGUGGGGUAUUAAACGCUCCUUGCUUCCU